This is a long non-coding RNA of Oncorhynchus tshawytscha (Chinook salmon), 366 nucleotides long. The record is from Ensembl. NCBI's taxonomy places the organism in Eukaryota, Metazoa, Chordata, Actinopteri, Salmoniformes, Salmonidae.
CCCAGGUGUCCCUGUCUAUCUGUUAACUGUCUCUCUGUCCCCCAGGUGUCCCUGUCUAUCUGUUUACUGUCUCUCUGUCCCCCAGGUGUCCCUGUCUAUCUGUUAACUGUCUCUCUGUCCCCCAGGUGUCCCUGUCUAUCUGUUUACUGUCUCUCUGUCCCCCAGGUGUCCCUGUCUAUCUGUUAACUGUCUGUCUGUCCCCCAGGUGUCCCUGUCUAUCUGUUUACUGUCUGUCUGUCCCCCAGGUGUCCCUGUCUAUCUGUUAACUGUCUCUCUGUCCCCCAGGUGUCCCUGUCUAUCUGUUUACUGUCUGUCUGUCCCCCAGGUGUCCCUGUCUAUCUGUUUACUGUCUGUCUGUCCCCCAGG